UCUCCGAAUGGGGAAACCCGAGCAGGGAUUACCUGCCAGCCCGUGGUGAAUACAUAGCCACGAGGCAGCCAAGCCAGGGAACUGAAACAUCUAAGUACCUGGACGAAAGGAAAGCAAAAGCGACUCCCCUAGUAGUGGCGAGCGAACGGGGAAGAGCCUAAACCCAAGCAGUGCAAGCAUGCUGGCGUUGCUGUUUGGGGGUCGUGGGAUUCUGCAGGAGAGACGGCAUUCUCUCCGGCGAGUGACAAAGGACGAGUCUAAUCGAACGGCAAUGAAAGGCCGGCCAUAGAGGGUGACAGCCCCGUAGGUGAAAGACGAGUCUCUCGCGUAGAACACCCGAGUACCGCAGGACACGUGCAAUCCGGCGGGAAUCUGGGAGGACCAUCUUCCAAGGCUAAGUACUCCUGAUCGACCGAUAGUGAACUAGUACCGCGAGGGAAAGGUGAAAAGAACCCCGGUUAGGGGAGUGAAAUAGUACCUGAAACCGUGUGCCUACAAGCAGUGGGAGCACUAUGGCCGCAAGGCAAUGUGUGACCACGUACCUUUUGCAUAAUGGGCCUGCGAGUUACGCUACGUGGCGAGGUUAAGCCGAGAGGUGGAGCCGAAGCGAAAGCGAGUCCUAACAGGGCGAGGAGUCGCGUGGCGUAGACCCGAAACCUUAGCGAUCUAUCCAUGUCCAGGUUGAAGAGCGGGUAACACCGCUUGGAGGACCGAACUCACCGCAGUUGAAAAUGCGGGGGAUGAGGUGUGGAUAGGAGUGAAAGGCUAAUCAAGCUGGGAUAUAGCUGGUUCUCCCCGAAAUAUAUUGAGGUAUAGCCUCGGACGAAUUGCGGCGGAGGUAGAGCACUGAAUGGGCUAGGGGUCCUACCAGAUUACCAAACCCAAUCAAACUCCGAAUGCCGCCGACAAGUAUCCGGGAGUCAGGCUGCGGGAGAUAAGUUCCGUAGCCGAGAGGGAAAGAGCCCAGAUCGUCAGCUAAGGUCCCCAAGUCCGAGCUAAGUGUCAAAGGAUGUGGGAGCGCACAGACAACCAGGAGGUUGGCUUAGAAGCAGCCAUCCUUUAAAGAAAGCGUAAUAGCUCACUGGUCAAGCGAACCUGCGCCGAAAAUAUAACGGGGCUAAGCUCGGCACCGAAGCUACGGGUUCUCGAAAGAGAGCGGUAGGGGAGUAUUCUCAGGUAGAUACACGCCGGACGGUGACGACCGGUAACGGACCUGAGAAGAGCUUAUGCAGGCAUGAGUAGCGAUAAACCGAGUGAGAAACUCGGUCGCCGUAAGCCCAAGGUUUCCUGGGGAAGGAUAAUCCUCCCAUGGGUUAGUCGGAUCCUAAGCCGAGGCCGAGAGGCGUAGGUGAUGGGAAGCAGGUUAAUAUUCCUGCACCACCAAGGAUGGCGUUGAAGUAAGCGGGGACGGAGUAGGGUAGGCCGGGCACGGCGGAUGGUUUGCCGUGUUCAAGC
This 1455-nucleotide ribosomal RNA is filed under the name Polyangium sorediatum. RNAcentral's name for it is "partial 23S ribosomal RNA". It matches the Rfam family "Bacterial large subunit ribosomal RNA", at positions 111 to 1517 of the family's 2925-position model. The record is from RNAcentral. Lineage: Bacteria; Pseudomonadati; Myxococcota; Polyangiales; Polyangiaceae.